Long non-coding RNA from Heterocephalus glaber (naked mole-rat), 1547 nucleotides. NCBI's taxonomy places the organism in Eukaryota, Metazoa, Chordata, Mammalia, Rodentia, Bathyergidae. The record is from Ensembl.
GGCCGCACAGGCGCUUCGAAAAAGCGCUCAGACUGGCAGGGUUGGACCGAACCUCACUGAACACGUCGCACCCCGGGGCGCCGGGGAACGCAGUGGGUGCACCUCGGGCUGCAAUUGGCUGGAGCGUGCACGUGACGCCAAGCCCCCCCAACCCUCGCCGUCCUCCUACCCACGGAAACACCAACGACAGCCUCUUAACACCUUGCGCCAAGUACCCGCCACCCGGCGCAAAGGGACGGACGGAGCGCGUGGCGAGGAAGGCGCCUGCGCCUACCUGCAAGGCGGACGGUGGCCGGCCCACGCGCCGCGCGGCUCUGGGGUCGGGAAUCCUCGCACUGCCGGGCCGCGGGGCUAGUGAUUGGCUGUUAGGCCUGGUCACGUGCCGCUCGCGGUCCGCCCCUCCCCGCUAAUCACCUGGCACCGCGCUCGAAGCGGCGAUCUAAGUCGUUCGCACGCGGAGAGGGAGAGAAGUUGGAGGCCUUCUUCUCUUGCCUCCAUGGGGUUCUAUCCAUGAAGGAGGAACGAAAAGCUGGGUCCCAAAACUAAGUCUUGCUAAAUAUAGUCCAGGCUCACCGUGGCUGCCUCACUGCUCACUGAAUGCUGGACUGCAGGCUUCACCACCACUCCCUGGUCUACACGAUUUUUAAUGUAUUGAUACAUUUAAUUCUCACCAUCAUCUUAUAUGAGUCUCACUAUGCAGCCCAGGCUGGCCUCAAACUCUGAAUCCUCCUGUCUCAGCCUCCCGAGUGCUGGAAUUACAGGUGUCCAACAGCAGAAGUGAAAUGAUUUUAACAAGGCCAUGCAUCUGUUAAAUGGUAGAGCACACACUUAUGUGUACCUGUAACAUAGGGAGCAAGGUGAUUUUCCAGGAGUAAAAGGAGAACUGGCUGGAGAAAAGAGAAAGGGGAAAUUGGGGAGGUGAGAAUAUGAAAAGUUUAGAAUAGCCAGAGUGAAAACUAUGCUUCCGAGCAUCUCCUGUCUGCACCUGUGAUCCAGCCUCUCAACUUGAGACCCACCAUCGGAUUCCUGCACCUACUCCUUCAGCCUUCUCUGGCUGCUAAAGAUGAUUCCACCCUUCCAUUUGGAUUCUGGGGUCUGGGCCUACCCUUGGGGCAGGAUUCUCUUGGGGGAGCUGAAGGGGCAGAGAAUGAUUCUGGCUGUCAGAGACAGGACCUGACAUGACCCACAAAUCACGGCAUCCUUGCUGAACCUUUUAAAAGUGUAUGCUUAUUAAAAAAAAAAAAAGUGUGUACUUAUGAUGGCCUUAGAACUGGAUUUCAGUAGACCCUGUGAUUUGUAGAAUAUUGUCUUAUUCAAAGUGACUUAAAAAGGAACAAGAGGGCUGGGAUUUAGCUCAGUGGUUCUGGAGCCUGCCUCACAAUUGCAAGGACCAGAGUUCGAUCCCUGGUACCAAAAAGAAAAAAAAAAAAAGAAACAAGAGACCCUGGAAUCUAGCUCAGUGGUGCCACCACACAAGGACCCAGGUUCGAUCCCUGGUACAAAAAAAGGAACAAGAGAGCUUCUCUCCCCUUCUCCCCCUCUCCCCC